GACGAACGCUGGCGGCGUGCCUAAUACAUGCAAGUCGAACGCUGAAGGAGGAGCUUGCUUCUCUGGAUGAGUUGCGAACGGGUGAGUAACGCGUAGGUAACCUGCCUGGUAGCGGGGGAUAACUAUUGGAAACGAUAGCUAAUACCGCAUAAGAGUAGAUGUCGCAUGACAUUUGCUUAAAGGGUGCAAUUGCAUCACUACCAGAUGGACCUGCGUUGUAUUAGCUAGUUGGUGAGGUAACGGCUCACCAAGGCAACGAUACAUAGCCGACCUGAGAGGGGGGUCGGCCACACUGGGACCGAGACACGGCCCAGACUCCCACGGGAGGGAGCAGUAGGGGAUCUUCGGGAAUGGACGGAAGGCUGAACGAGGAAAGCCGCGGGAGGGAAGAAGGGUCUCGGAUCGGAAAGCUCCGUUGUAAGAGAAGAACGAGUGUGAGAGUGGAAAGUUCACACUGUGACGGUAUCUUAUCAGAAAGGGACGGCUAACUACGUG
Molecule: ribosomal RNA, 495 nt
Filed under: uncultured bacterium
Lineage: Bacteria
Description: partial 16S ribosomal RNA
Rfam family: Bacterial small subunit ribosomal RNA
Source: RNAcentral